AAGGGUGCGUAGGCGGUUUUAUUAAGUCAGUGGUGAAAGACGGUCGCUCAACGAUUGCAGUGCCAUUGAUACUGGUAGACUUGAGUGGGAUUGAGGUAGCUGGAAUGGAUAGUGUAGCGGUGAAAUGCAUAGAUAUUAUCCAGAACACCAAUUGCGUAGGCAAGUUACUAAGUCUCAACUGACGCUGAGGCACGAAAGUGUGGGUAUCAAACAGGAUUAGAUAUCCCUGU
This 230-nucleotide ribosomal RNA is filed under the name uncultured bacterium. RNAcentral's name for it is "partial 16S ribosomal RNA". It matches the Rfam family "Bacterial small subunit ribosomal RNA", at positions 563 to 791 of the family's 1533-position model. The record is from RNAcentral.